AGUGAACGCUGGCGGUAGGCCUAACACAUGCAAGUCGAACGGCAGCACAGUAAGAGCUUGCUCUUACGGGUGGCGAGUGGCGGACGGGUGAGGAAUACAUCGGAAUCUACUUUUUCGUGGGGGAUAACGUAGGGAAACUUACGCUAAUACCGCAUACGACCUACGGGUGAAAGCAGGGGAUCUUCGGCCCUUGCGCGAUUCAAUGAGCCGAUGUCGGAUUAGCUAGUUGGCGGGGUAAAGGCCCACCAAGGCGACGAUCCGUAGCUGGUCUGAGAGGAUGAUCAGGCACACUGGAACUGAGACACGGUCCAGACUCCUACGGGAGGCAGCAGUGGGGAAUAUUGGACAAUGGGCGCAAGCCUGAUCCAGCCAUACCGCGUGGGUGAAGAAGGCCUUCGGGUUGUAAAGCCCUUUUGUUGGGAAAGAAAAGCAGCAGGUUAAUACCCCGCUGUUCUGACGGUACCCAAAGAAUAAGCACCGGCUAACUUCGUG
This 492-nucleotide ribosomal RNA is filed under the name uncultured bacterium. RNAcentral's name for it is "partial 16S ribosomal RNA". It matches the Rfam family "Bacterial small subunit ribosomal RNA", at positions 29 to 507 of the family's 1533-position model. The record is from RNAcentral.